GUCCACGCCGUAAACGAUGUCUACUAGCCGUUGGGUUCCUUGAGGACUUAGUGGCGCAGCUAACGCAAUAAGUAGACCGCCUGGGGAGUACGGUCGCAAGAUUAAAACUCAAAUGAAUUGACGGGGGCCCCGCACAAGCGGUGGAGCAUGUGGUUUAAUUCGACGCAACGCGAAGAACCUUACCAGGUCUUGACAUCCAGAGAACUUUCCAGAGAUGGAUUGGUGCCUUCGGGAACUCUGAGACAGGUGCUGCAUGGCUGUCGU
This 264-nucleotide ribosomal RNA is filed under the name uncultured bacterium. RNAcentral's name for it is "partial 16S ribosomal RNA". It matches the Rfam family "Bacterial small subunit ribosomal RNA", at positions 793 to 1055 of the family's 1533-position model. The record is from RNAcentral.